This 260-nucleotide unclassified non-coding RNA is filed under the name uncultured Chaetothyriales. RNAcentral describes it as "sequence contains 5.8S rRNA gene, ITS2, 28S rRNA gene". The stretch from base 1 to 52 matches the Rfam family "5.8S ribosomal RNA", at positions 103 to 154 of the family's 154-position model. Lineage: Eukaryota; Fungi; Ascomycota; Eurotiomycetes; Chaetothyriales. The record is from RNAcentral.
AACGCACAUUGCGCCCAUUGGUAUUCCGAUGGGCAUGCCUGUUCGAGCGUCAUUAUCCUCCCUCAAACCUCGUGUUUGGUGUUGGACCGCGUUGGCCGAGCGACCAACUGGUCUCAAAGACAAUGACGGCGUCCGUGGGACCCUCGGUGCAACGAGCUUCUAAGGAGCACGCGUCGAGUUUCAAGGACCCUCCGGGCCGGUCUUAACCUCUAUCUUCUCAGGUUGACCUCGGAUCAGGUAGGAAUACCCGCUGAACUUAA